GACGAACGCUGGCGGCGUGCUUAACACAUGCAAGUCGAACGGAAAGGCCCUGCUUGCCGGGUACUCGAGUGGCGAACGGGUGAGUAACACGUGGGUGAUCUGCCCUGCACUUCGGGAUAAGCUUGGGAAACUGGGUCUAAUACCGGAUAGGACCGCACUUUAGUGUGUGUGGUGGAAAGUUUUUUCGGUGUAGGAUGAGCUCGCGGCCUAUCAGCUUGUUGGUGGGGUAAUGGCCUACCAAGGCGGCGACGGGUAGCCGGCCUGAGAGGGUGUACGGCCACAUUGGGACUGAGAUACGGCCCAGACUCCUACGGGAGGCAGCAGUGGGGAAUAUUGCACAAUGGGCGCAAGCCUGAUGCAGCGACGCCGCGUGGGGGAUGAAGGCCUUCGGGUUGUAAACUCCUUUCGCUAGGGACGAAGCUUUGUUGUGACGGUACCUAGAUAAGAAGCACCGGCUAACUACGUG
RNAcentral lists this ribosomal RNA (466 nucleotides) under uncultured bacterium. RNAcentral describes it as "partial 16S ribosomal RNA". It matches the Rfam family "Bacterial small subunit ribosomal RNA", at positions 28 to 507 of the family's 1533-position model. The record is from RNAcentral.